RNAcentral lists this ribosomal RNA (200 nucleotides) under uncultured bacterium. Its description in RNAcentral is "partial 16S ribosomal RNA". It matches the Rfam family "Bacterial small subunit ribosomal RNA", at positions 524 to 723 of the family's 1533-position model. The record is from RNAcentral.
UACGGGGGGGGCAAGCGUUGUUCGGAAUUACUGGGCGUAAAGGGUGCGUAGGCGGCUUUCUAAGUUGGAUGUGAAAACUAUGGGCUCAACCCAUAGCCUGCAUCCAAAACUGGAGAGCUUGGGUUCUGGAGGGGAAAGCGGAAUUCCUGGUGUAGCGGUGAAAUGCGUAGAGAUAUGGAGGAACACCUGCGGCGAAGGCG